Molecule: ribosomal RNA, 504 nt
Filed under: uncultured bacterium
Lineage: Bacteria
Description: partial 16S ribosomal RNA
Rfam family: Bacterial small subunit ribosomal RNA
Source: RNAcentral
AUUGAACGCUGGCGGCAGGCCUAACACAUGCAAGUCGAACGGUAGCACAGAGAGCUUGCUCUCGGGUGACGAGUGGCGGACGGGUGAGUAACGGCUGGGAAACUGCCCGAUGGAGGGGGAUAACUACUGGAAACGGUAGCUAAUACCGCAUAACGUCGCAAGACCAAAGCGGGGGACCUUCGGUCCCCACACCAUCGGAUGUGUCCAGAUGGGAUUAGCUAGUAGGUGGGGUAAUGGGUCACCUAGGCGACGAUCCCUAGCUGGUCUGAGAGGAUGACCAGCCACACUGGAACUGAGACACGGUCCAGACUCCUACGGGAGGCAGCAGUGGGGAAUAUUGCACAAUGGGCGCAAGCCUGAUGCAGCCAUGCCGCGUGUAUGAAGAAGGCCUUCGGGUUGUAAAGUACUUUCAGCGGGGAGGAAGGCGGUGAAGUUAAUAGCUUCACCGAUUGACGUUACCCGCAGAAGAAGCACCGGCUAACUCCGUGCCAGCCGCCGCAGUAA